Molecule: ribosomal RNA, 261 nt
Filed under: Triticum aestivum (bread wheat)
Lineage: Eukaryota; Viridiplantae; Streptophyta; Magnoliopsida; Poales; Poaceae
Description: partial small subunit ribosomal RNA
Source: RNAcentral
AUGGGUUCUUCCUCGAGCAACGCCAGGGAAGCGCCGGCGGCGGCGCCACCGCCACCACCUCCUGCGCCGCCGGGCCCCCUCCACGCGAUGGACGCGGACGAGGACGACGAGAGCGUGAAGCAGCUCAACGAGUGCGCCGCCCUCUACCUCUCCCUCCAGGACUGCCUCGCCGAGUCCGACCGCAACUGGAAGGCCUGCCAAGCACAUGUUCAAGCCUUGAAAGCAUGUGAGGCGAGCAGAAACAAAAAUCAGAAAACAUGA